This 67-nucleotide transfer RNA is filed under the name Lonchophylla concava. RNAcentral's name for it is "tRNA-Asp". The record is from RNAcentral. Lineage: Eukaryota; Metazoa; Chordata; Mammalia; Chiroptera; Phyllostomidae.
GAGGUAUUAGUAAAAGUUACGCAACCUUGUCAAGGUUGAAUUAUAGGUGAAAUCCCUAUAUAUCUCU